This 1008-nucleotide long non-coding RNA is filed under the name Androctonus crassicauda. Lineage: Eukaryota; Metazoa; Arthropoda; Arachnida; Scorpiones; Buthidae. The record is from RNAcentral.
GUUCAAUCAUAUUUAUGAUGAUAUAUUUUGUUUAAUUUAUAAUAUUUAUUGUUCAGCACAUAACAAUUAGUAAGAAUACAUAUUCAUUAACCAAAAUGAGCUCAAAACAUUCACUGAAUAUUUGUUAUUUAGUCAGAAUUAUUAGGAAUCAUAUGUUUUAUUAGAAAUACUGGACAUUGUCAUAUCUGCAUCAGAUAUGGCAAUCUUUUCUGACAUUGAGAUCUGUCAGUGUAUUUUUGAUUCAUUUCCACAAUAAAGCCAACCAAAAAUAUGGUAUUAAUAGUAAUUUGAUAUUAUUUAAAAAAAAUCAAAAGUAGGAUAAUCUUUUAUUCAAGACUCUGAAUUAAAUAUUCAAUUACAAAUAGAAUUUUAGCAGAAUGCUAGAAGUUCCAAAUUUUGUAACAUUCUGCUAACACAUUAAAAGUAGGGCUGGCUUUAGGCACCAGCAAAACAAGCAACUGCUUGGGGUGGUAUUAGAAUAGUAAACACACAUAAUUUUCUUUAUUUUACAACUAGAACUUAAUUAUAAUCUGUUAAUUUUAUUGGGCACAUACAAAUUAUUUUUGUUAUAAGUUCACAAAUAUAUUUUUUUCUUAAGAGAAUUUGCUUUCAUGAGAAAAUAAAUUAGAAGUAGAGUUGUUGGCUAAAGAGCUUGAGUUUUUUGCAUUAACUGUGAGAUGAUUAAUAAAGUGAUAUUUAAAACAUUACAAAACAGAUUGUUGAAUAUAUGGGGCAUAGUUGGAAUCAUACACAGGAAGAAUUUCAAGACAAAAAGAGAAUGGAUGGAUCAAGUACCAACCUCCAGGAAGUACUUCAGCCAGAUCAAAAAGAUAGAUAAUCUGCAUUUCAUGCACUCCCCUGUGGCUUACAAUUCCAUCUCUCUAGUGGCAUGACAAUUUAGAUUAGAAUUUGGACAUGACUGAAGCUUGAGCUUUGGUGUUUUAAAAGUUUUUUAAUAUUCUGUUUCAAUCCAAAAAGUGGAGCACUGCUCAGCAGUUGCGGGAAGCA